UAUGGUAUGUGCCAGCAGCCGCGGUAAUACGUAGGCGGCAAGCGUUGUCCGGAAUUAUUGGGCGUAAAGGGAGCGCAGGCGGGAAACUAAGCGGAUCUUAAAAGUGCGGGGCUCAACCCCGUGAUGGGGUCCGAACUGGUUUUCUUGAGUGCAGGAGAGGAAAGCGGAAUUCCCAGUGUAGCGGUGAAAUGCGUAGAUAUUGGGAAGAACACCAGUGGCGAAGGCGGCUUUCUGGACUGUAACUGACGCUGAGGCUCGAAAGCUAGGGUAGCGAACGGG
Molecule: ribosomal RNA, 279 nt
Filed under: Megamonas funiformis YIT 11815
Lineage: Bacteria; Bacillati; Bacillota; Negativicutes; Selenomonadales; Selenomonadaceae
Description: partial 16S ribosomal RNA
Rfam family: Bacterial small subunit ribosomal RNA
Source: RNAcentral